ACAGGUAUGCUGAAAAAAGGCAUUCUUCAAAUCAAUUACAGAGAAGAACGCAGCAUCUGCAGGGAUUGCAGAAAUGAGCGCUCCCACAAACCUCAAUCCGGCCCUCGCCCAACGUCAAGCCAUCGUACAUAUUUAGUAGGAUUUGGAACGCCACCUGCGAGCCAGCAGGGAAAGCCUUACUAGGGGAACGGAGGCAGUUAUAGCAAAUGAGGGACCAACUUCAAUCAACACCUAUGGGGUGUGAUGGACGUUUGGGGGUCUACACACCUUUGUCCAUGUAGUGUGCGACCCCACACAACACGUAUUAAUAUCUAACACCAGGAAAUCUACUGUAGUCCAGCCAGGAAUAAAAACACCACAACCGAACAACGCAAACUAGAUUUGUUUCCAAUGUUAUAUUAUUGCAUGUGACAAUUAAUAAUUAUAAUAAUAAAAAAAAAAGUCCUA
Long non-coding RNA from Pseudophryne corroboree (corroboree frog), 447 nucleotides. RefSeq lists it as uncharacterized. The transcript has 2 exons. The record is from RefSeq and is a predicted model, not a curated record. NCBI's taxonomy places the organism in Eukaryota, Metazoa, Chordata, Amphibia, Anura, Myobatrachidae.